Molecule: ribosomal RNA, 483 nt
Filed under: uncultured bacterium
Lineage: Bacteria
Description: partial 16S ribosomal RNA
Rfam family: Bacterial small subunit ribosomal RNA
Source: RNAcentral
GACGAACGCUGGCGGCGUGCUUAACACAUGCAAGUCGAACGCUGAAGCUCAGCUUUUGUUGGGUGGAUGAGUGGCGAACGGGUGAGUAACACGUGAGCAACCUGCCUCCUUCUUUGGGAUAACGCCCGGAAACGGGUGCUAAUACUGGAUAUUCACUGGUCUUCGCAUGGGGGUUGGUGGAAAGGGUUUUUCUGGUGGGGGAUGGGCUCGCGGCCUAUCAGCUUGUUGGUGGGGUGAUGGCCUACCAAGGCUUUGACGGGUAGCCGGCCUGAGAGGGUGACCGGUCACAUUGGGACUGAGAUACGGCCCAGACUCCUACGGGAGGCAGCAGUGGGGAAUAUUGCACAAUGGGCGCAAGCCUGAUGCAGCGACGCCGCGUGAGGGAUGGAGGCCUUCGGGUUGUGAACCUCUUUCGCUCAUGGUCAAGCCGCAACAAUGGUUGUGGUGAGGGUAGUGGGUAAAGAAGCGCCGGCUAACUACGUG